GAUGAAGAACGCAGCGAAAUGCGAUAAGUAGUGUGAAUUGCAGAAUUCAGUGAAUCAUCGAAUCUUUGAACGCACCUUGCACUCCUUGGUAUUCCGAGGAGUACGCCUGUUCGAGUGUUAUGAAGCUCUCAAAACGCAAUUGGCUUAAAACCUGAUUGUUGUUUUGGAUUUGAACUUUGCCGUGUUAUAACGGCUGGUUUUAAAAGUAUUAGCUGGUACUAGAACGAAUUGGUUCUACUCAACGUGAUAAUUAUCUGAUCGUUGAGGACAUUCCUUUCACGAGGAAUGGCCAUAGUAAAUUCAAUGGACUGCUUCUAAUCUGGCUUUAAUUCUUUAUUGGAUUAACCACUUUUCAAAUCUGACCUCGAAUCAGGUGGGACUACCCGCUGAACUUAAGCAUAUCAAUAAGCGGAGGA
RNAcentral lists this unclassified non-coding RNA (416 nucleotides) under soil metagenome. Its description in RNAcentral is "partial contains 5.8S ribosomal RNA, internal transcribed spacer 2, and large subunit ribosomal RNA". The stretch from base 1 to 120 matches the Rfam family "5.8S ribosomal RNA", at positions 35 to 154 of the family's 154-position model. The record is from RNAcentral.